Cynocephalus volans (Philippine flying lemur) is the source of this 104-nucleotide small nuclear RNA. The record is from RefSeq and is a predicted model, not a curated record. NCBI's taxonomy places the organism in Eukaryota, Metazoa, Chordata, Mammalia, Dermoptera, Cynocephalidae.
GUGCUCACUUCAGCAGCACACAUACUAAAUUUGGAAUGAUACAGAGAUUAGCAUGACCCCUGUGCAAGGAUGACACAGAAAUUUGUGAAGCAUUUUAUAUUUUU